RNAcentral lists this ribosomal RNA (253 nucleotides) under uncultured bacterium. RNAcentral describes it as "partial 16S ribosomal RNA". It matches the Rfam family "Bacterial small subunit ribosomal RNA", at positions 524 to 776 of the family's 1533-position model. The record is from RNAcentral.
UACAGAGGGGGCAAGCGUUAUUCGGAAUUAUUGGGCGUAAAGGGCGCGUAGGCGGCCUGGCAAGUGGAAGGUGAAAUCCCUCGGCUUAACCGAGGAACUGCCCUCCAAACUGCUUGGCUUGAGUCCGGGAGAGGUGAGUGGAAUUCCCAGUGUAGCGGUGAAAUGCGUAGAUAUUGGGAGGAACACCAGUGGCGAAGGCGGCUCACUGGACCGGAACUGACGCUGAGGCGCGAAAGCUAGGGGAGCAAACGGG